UACGUAAGGACCGAGCGUUGUCCGGAAUCAUUGGGCGUAAAGGGUACGUAGGCGGUUAGAAAAGUUAGAAGUGAAAGGCUAUAGCUCAACUAUAGUAAGCUUUUAAAACUGUUUAACUUGAGAGAUGGAAGGGAAAGUGGAAUUCCUAGUGUAGCGGUGAAAUGCGCAGAUAUUAGGAGGAAUACCGGUGGCGAAGGCGACUUUCUGGCCAUUAUCUGACGCUGAGGUACGAAAGCGUGGGUAGCAAACA
This 250-nucleotide ribosomal RNA is filed under the name uncultured Anaerococcus sp. Its description in RNAcentral is "partial 16S ribosomal RNA". It matches the Rfam family "Bacterial small subunit ribosomal RNA", at positions 524 to 774 of the family's 1533-position model. Lineage: Bacteria; Bacillati; Bacillota; Tissierellia; Tissierellales; Peptoniphilaceae. The record is from RNAcentral.